UACGUAGGGGGCAAGCGUUGUCCGGAAUCAUUGGGCGUAAAGCGCGUGUAGGCGGCCUUGUAAGUCCGUUCUGAAAGCCGGGGCUCAACCCCGGGAGGCGGAUGGAUACUGCAAGGCUCGAGUACGGAAGAGGCGAGUGGAAUUCCCGGUGUAGCGGUGAAAUGCGCAGAUAUCGGGAGGAACACCAAUGGCGAAGGCAGCUCGCUGGGACGUUACUGACGCUGAGACGCGAAAGCGUGGGGAGCAAACAGG
This 252-nucleotide ribosomal RNA is filed under the name uncultured bacterium. RNAcentral describes it as "partial 16S ribosomal RNA". It matches the Rfam family "Bacterial small subunit ribosomal RNA", at positions 524 to 776 of the family's 1533-position model. The record is from RNAcentral.